GCCUCGUAAGCCCCGCCCCCGGAGGCGCCGGGAAAUUGGUGGAAAACACCUUCGGCUUCCCAGUGUGGAUCAGGCGUGAGGAGUGAGAGAAACUAGGAACUUCUCUGAAUACCUAAUGAGCCUGCAUGAAUUUAAUCAUCUCCAGGACUUUAGAGAGCCAUGAAAACAUCCCUGGGCUAGCUUGCUAGGGAAAUGUAAGGAACACCUGGAGGAGAGCUGUGUUAUCCCUAUGCCGACCAUCCUACACCAUCCAGGCUCCUGAGGGCCUCCAGCUGACCAGAGAUAGAUCCCACUGA
Long non-coding RNA from Phacochoerus africanus (Common warthog), 296 nucleotides. RefSeq lists it as uncharacterized. The record is from RefSeq and is a predicted model, not a curated record. The transcript has 4 exons. Lineage: Eukaryota; Metazoa; Chordata; Mammalia; Artiodactyla; Suidae.